This 447-nucleotide ribosomal RNA is filed under the name uncultured bacterium. RNAcentral describes it as "partial 16S ribosomal RNA". It matches the Rfam family "Bacterial small subunit ribosomal RNA", at positions 28 to 523 of the family's 1533-position model. The record is from RNAcentral.
GACGAACGCUGGCGGCAAGCUUAACACAUGCAAGUCGAACGCCGUAGCAAUACGGAGUGGCAGACGGGUGAGUAACGCGUGGGAACGUGCCUUUCGGUUCGGAACAACUGAGGGAAACUUCAGCUAAAACCGGAUACGCCCUUCGGGGGAAAGUUUACGCCGAAAGAUCGGCCUGCGUUAGAUUAGCUAGUUGGUGGGGUAAUGGCCUACCAAGGCGACGAUCUAUAGCUGUUCUGAGAGGAAGAUCAGCCACACUGGGACUGAGACACGGCCCAGACUCCUACGGGAGGCAGCAGUGGGGAAUAUUGGACAAUGGGCGCAAGCCUGAUCCAGCUAUGCCGCGUGGAUGAAGAAGGCCUUAGGGUUGUAAAGUCCUUUCGUCGGUGAAGAUAAUGACGGUAACCAAAGAAGAAGCCCCGGCUAAUUUCGUGCCAGCCGCCGCCGUAA